AACGAUGUAGUUUAUAAAGAACAUUGGGUUUGCAAUUCAAAAGAGGAUUUAGAUCUUUUCGUUA
RNAcentral lists this transfer RNA (64 nucleotides) under Echeneibothrium williamsi. RNAcentral's name for it is "tRNA-Ala". Lineage: Eukaryota; Metazoa; Platyhelminthes; Cestoda; Rhinebothriidea; Echeneibothriidae. The record is from RNAcentral.